Molecule: ribosomal RNA, 253 nt
Filed under: uncultured bacterium
Lineage: Bacteria
Description: partial 16S ribosomal RNA
Rfam family: Bacterial small subunit ribosomal RNA
Source: RNAcentral
UACAGAGGGUGCAAGCGUUAAUCGGAAUUACUGGGCGUAAAGCGUGCGUAGGCGGUUUCGUAAGUCGGAUGUGAAAGCCCCGGGCUCAACCUGGGAAUUGCAUUCGAGACUGCGAAGCUCGAGUGCGGAAGAGGGAAGUGGAAUUUCCGGUGUAGCGGUGAAAUGCGUAGAUAUCGGAAGGAACAUCAGUGGCGAAAGCGACUUCCUGGUCCAGCACUGACGCUCAGGCACGAAAGCGUGGGGAGCAAACAGG